This 301-nucleotide ribosomal RNA is filed under the name uncultured bacterium. RNAcentral's name for it is "partial 16S ribosomal RNA". It matches the Rfam family "Bacterial small subunit ribosomal RNA", at positions 509 to 809 of the family's 1533-position model. The record is from RNAcentral.
CAGCCGCCGCGGGAAUACGUAGGGUGCGAGCGUUAAUCGGAAUUACUGGGCGUAAAGCGAGCGCAGACGGUUAUUUAAGCAGGAUGUGAAAUCCCCGGGCUUAACCUGGGAACUGCGUUCUGAACUGGAUAGCUAGAGUGUGUCAGAGGGGGGUAGAACUCCACGUGUAGCAGUGAAAUGCGUAGAGAUGUGGAGGAAUACCGAUGGCGAAGGCAGCCCCCUGGGAUAGCACUGACGUUCAUGCCCGAAAGCGUGGGUAGCAAACAGGAUUAGAUACCCGUGUAGUCCCUGUCUCUUAUAA